GGGAACUCGUUUACACAUUUCUGAUAAAUUUAUCCAGCGAUUUCACUGAAUAAACCUGAUAAACUGAAGCCAAUGCGACUCUGUCGCAAAAGGACUAAACAUUCAACAACGACAAUGCUUCACUAUUGCAACAUUUUGUGACCCACGUUUCAAAACUCGUUUUUUUUUCUGACGCCAAUAAAGCUAAAAACUGGGUUGUUGAUGAACUAAUUCCAAAUUAUAAAUCAGUUAGCAUGGGGAAACCAGUUGAAUCUUAUAAAAAAUGCCGAACUAUAGUGAAAGCUUCCAUCGAAGAUCGAGCUCACGAGGAUAUUUGGCAAUGCUUUGAGGAAAUCGCCAACGGCUCUGAUGCUGAUUCUAGUGUUUCUAGUGAUAUGGAUAGCCAAACGAUUGGUAGACAAGGCAGCGAACGUACAUAAAAAAGGGAGCGAUUUAUGAACUUGAAAUAGACAAAUAUUUGCAGCUACCUCUUAUACAACAAGAUCCCUUAACCUGGUGAAAGUAUAGCCGCAAAGAAUUUCCAAAUUUGUUUACACUGGCAAUGAAGUAUCUCUGCGCGCCACCUUCCUCAGUGAACUCGGAAAGAGUAUUUAGUGCAUCGGGUAACAUUUAUGUGGAAAAUAGAAUUAGGUUGUUGCCCGAUAAUGCGGAAACUUUGAUUACUAAUUAGAUACUAUUAAAUUGGAUUACAAAAAUACAAAA
Long non-coding RNA from Rhagoletis pomonella (apple maggot), 702 nucleotides. RefSeq lists it as uncharacterized. The record is from RefSeq and is a predicted model, not a curated record. NCBI's taxonomy places the organism in Eukaryota, Metazoa, Arthropoda, Insecta, Diptera, Tephritidae. The transcript has 2 exons.